GGGCCUGUAGCUCAGCCUGGUUAGAGCACACGCUUGAUAAGCGUGGGGUCGGUAGUUCGAAUCUACCCAGGCCCA
Molecule: transfer RNA, 75 nt
Filed under: uncultured Acidobacteria bacterium HF4000_26D02
Lineage: Bacteria; Pseudomonadati; Acidobacteriota
Description: tRNA-Ile
Rfam family: tRNA
About the family: Transfer RNA (tRNA) molecules are approximately 80 nucleotides in length. Their secondary structure includes four short double-helical elements and three loops (D, anti-codon, and T loops).
Source: RNAcentral